Molecule: long non-coding RNA, 711 nt
Organism: Oncorhynchus keta (chum salmon)
Lineage: Eukaryota; Metazoa; Chordata; Actinopteri; Salmoniformes; Salmonidae
Exons: 3
Source: RefSeq, a predicted model, not a curated record
UUGUAUGUGGAGGAUGAGGGCUGCAGUAGAUAUCUCAGAUAGGGGGAGUGAACAGGUGUUGUAUGUGGAGGAUGAGGGCUGCAGUAGAUAUCUCAGAUAGGGGGGGAGUGAACAGGUGUUGUAUGUGGAGGAUGAGGGCUGCAGUAGGUAUCUCAGAUAGGGAGGAGUGAACAGGUGUUGUAUGUGGAGGAUGAGGGCUGCUUUAGAUAUCUCAGAUAGGGGGGAGUGAAGGGGUGUUGUAUGUGGAGGAUGAGGGCUGCAGUAGAUAUCUCAGAUAGGGGGGAGUAAACAGGUGUUGUAUGUGGAGGAUGAGGGCUGCAGUAUAUAUCUCAGAUAGGGGGGAGUGAACAGGUGUUGUAUGUGGAGGAUGAGGGCUGCAGUAGAUAUCUCAGAUAGGGGGGAGUGAACAGGUGUUGUAUGUGGAGGAUGAGGGCUGCAGUAGAUAUCUCAGAUAGGGGGGAGUGAACAGGUGUUGUAUGUGGAGGAUGAGGGCUGCAGUAGAUAUCUCAGAUAGGGGGGAGUGAACAGGUGUUGUAUGUGGAGGAUGAGGGCUGCAGUAGAUAUCUCAGAUAGGGGGGAGUGAACAGGUGUUGUAUGUGGAGGAUGAGGGCUGCAGUAGAUAUCUCAGAUAGGGGGGAGUGAACAGGUGUUGUAUGUGGAGGAUGAGGGCUGCAGUAGAUAUCUCAGAUAGGGAGGAGUGAACAGGUGUUG